GGCGCCAGAGCCAAGUGGUAAGGCAGCGGACUGCAAAUCCGCGAUUGCUCCGGUUCAAAUCCGGAUGGCGCCUCCA
This 76-nucleotide transfer RNA is filed under the name Oscillospiraceae bacterium. Its description in RNAcentral is "tRNA-Cys". It matches the Rfam family "tRNA". From Rfam's summary of the family: Transfer RNA (tRNA) molecules are approximately 80 nucleotides in length. Their secondary structure includes four short double-helical elements and three loops (D, anti-codon, and T loops). Further hydrogen bonds mediate the characteristic L-shaped molecular structure. tRNAs have two regions of fundamental functional importance: the anti-codon, which is responsible for specific mRNA codon recognition, and the 3' end, to which the tRNAs corresponding amino acid is attached (by aminoacyl-tRNA synthetases). tRNAs cope with the degeneracy of the genetic code in two manners: having more than one tRNA (with a specific anti-codon) for a particular amino acid; and 'wobble' base-pairing, i.e. permitting non-standard base-pairing at the 3rd anti-codon position. Lineage: Bacteria; Bacillati; Bacillota; Clostridia; Eubacteriales; Oscillospiraceae. The record is from RNAcentral.